GAUGAACGCUAGCGACAGGCUUAACACAUGCAAGUCGAGGGGCAGCAUGAUUAGUAGCAAUACUAAUUGAUGGCGACCGGCGCACGGGUGAGUAACGCGUAUGCAACCUACCUAUCAGAGGGGGAUAGCCCAUUGAAAGAUGGAUUAAUACCGCAUAAAGCAGGGGUCCCGCAUGGGAAUAUUUGCUAAAGAUUUAUUGCUGAUAGAUGGGCAUGCGUUCCAUUAGAUAGUUGGUAGGGUAACGGCCUACCAAGUCAACGAUGGAUAGGGGUUCUGAGAGGAAGGUCCCCCACACUGUACUGAGACACGGACCAGACUCCUACGGGAGGCAGCAGUGAGGAAUAUUGGUCAAUGGGCGAGAGCCUGAACCAGCCAAAUCGCGUGAAGGACGACGGUAUUAUGUAUUGUAAACUUCUUUUAUAAGGGAAUAAAAAGUAGGACGUGUCCUAUGUUGCAUGUACCUUAUGAAUAAGCAUCGGCUAACUCCGUGCCAGCCGCCGCCGUAACAC
RNAcentral lists this ribosomal RNA (509 nucleotides) under uncultured bacterium. Its description in RNAcentral is "bacterial SSU rRNA". It matches the Rfam family "Bacterial small subunit ribosomal RNA", at positions 28 to 526 of the family's 1533-position model. The record is from RNAcentral.